Long non-coding RNA from Aegilops tauschii subsp. strangulata, 1111 nucleotides. RefSeq lists it as uncharacterized. The record is from RefSeq and is a predicted model, not a curated record. NCBI's taxonomy places the organism in Eukaryota, Viridiplantae, Streptophyta, Magnoliopsida, Poales, Poaceae.
ACUUUUGAGGGCGAGUUUGGUUGCCACAUCGAGCCCAACCAAGCCCGCGCGAUGCAGCAUCUUUAUGGAGGUGGGCUGUUUGAUUGCACGCAUAUACUGUUGGGCCUGCAUAGCACGGUUCUUAAAGCACCUCUGGGCUUGGCUCACUGGAAACGUUCGAAUCAGCAGUUUCUUGUGAGCCAGGCCCGAGCGAUGCUCUCGAGCGUACCUGGGUGGCUCGGCUCGUACGUGUUGACAGAUAAUCACCUCCCUAACCUUCCCUAAUCCCUCUCCUCUCUGAGCACCUCAUCUCUGAGCACACCCUCGCCUACUUCGCUCGCCGCCCCGGUCGCGCUUCCCGCCGCCCGCUGCCGGCGCAAGCGCGGGCAUCCCAUCGCCGGACCUCCGCCGAACUCGCCCUCACCGGAUCCGUCUGCGGGGACCGCCUCACUGCGACGGCCGCAGCGCUCAAGCAGGCCGGCCUGUCGGAGCUCCAGCGGGCGGCCCGGACGGGGGUCCCGGGCGAAACAGCGGACAACGCGGUCGGAGCUGGUGCGCGCGCACCUCCUGCUGACGCUGAAGCUGAAGCCGGACCGACGCGUGCACUCGUGGACGAGCACCGCGACCUGGAGCGGCUGGAGCCCGUGGACUCCUCCACGCUCAUGUGGCACCGCGACCUGGCCAUGAUCUACCCAAUUCUCUCGCACACUCCUCCACAUCCAUCAAAUGAUUAGGGAAAGCACGACACCGCGACCUGGAGCGGCUGGAGCUCAUGGGCGAGCGUCCGGCGCGGCUGCUGCUUCUUGGUCUUCUUGCUUACUUGCUGCUGCAGAACAACAUCACGGGGCGGCUGCCGCCGGAGCUGGGCGCGUCCACGGCCACGAGCCGGGCGCGGCCACGGUGCCGUGCGUGGACGAGUCCAGGUGGCGAGCGUGCCCAUGGUCGCCGGGAGCUGGCGGUGGACAUGAUGGGCAGAGGAAUCUCCGGCGCGCUCAACGUGUUCGACGAAAUGAGAUGCCAAACCUGGUGGGUGUUAAGCUUUGUUGUUAACUCCUAAUCAUAUGCAUGUAUGCAACCAAAUGCCGGGUGAAAAUUGCAUCCCAAUGACAAAACCCCUAAUGCAGGCAACCAA